This 3338-nucleotide long non-coding RNA is filed under the name Haliotis rufescens (red abalone). RNAcentral describes it as "uncharacterized LOC124131664". The record is from RNAcentral. Lineage: Eukaryota; Metazoa; Mollusca; Gastropoda; Lepetellida; Haliotidae.
CCUGCACCUGUAACUCUUAUGCAAGCCCAAAUCCCAUGUCACAACAAACACUUGAUCAUAAUAAUAACAAAAGGUUUCCGAAAACAACAAAACUAAAAGGGCCUAGACGUUUACAGAAGUACAUGGAGAUCAGGUAAAUAUCUAAAUCAAUCCAUUCCAUAAGAUCUAUGUAUAGAAAUCAUGGAACAUUAUGUCUCGAAGCCCUGCUUCGUACCUGGCAUCCGCAAGCUGCUCUUCCUUCGGCUGUCAAUCGAGUUUUCGAAAUACGAUGGAUUUCGACCGGGAUUUCCGUGUUAGAGGUGAUUGAGAACAAUGUAUUGAUACACGAGGUAGGCAUAUCGCAAUCAAGCAUCACGGUGUACAUCGAUUACACGAGGUUUGAGUGUUUGUUUACAUUUGUGUGCCAAAAUGGCGCCCUCGGCCAUACAGGGAAUUAUGGGUAGACUUGCUUGUCCCGGAAUAACACGAGUUGGUCACGAAUGACGAGCGGUCAUUUCAGAAGCAGUUACGGAAAGAGACGAGGUUUGCCGAUUACAGUUCAUACAGGCCAUAUUGGGAGCAGCGGGGAUUUCGACAGUGUGUAUUAGGAAGUAUACCUACGUCGUGUAUGGAAUAUGUGUUUGCCUACCAUGCCUAGAUAAGACAGUGUGACAAGGGAAAUACCAGCGGACGUAAUAUUCCUACAGCAGAAAUGUUUCACAACCUCGUCAAAAUUGGCGAUUGCAGCUGAUGUCAUGCAGGGAGCUGAAGACGUGACAUAUUCAGACAGAGACCAUAUUACAUAUAGACUGUUACAUGGUCUCUGAUUCAGGUGUCAAGAAUCAAGAACAAAUUAAAUGACAGAAGUUUUGCAACACUGAACAUAUUGAAGUGGAAGAUAUGGAUAUUUUCACUUGAACUUGUUGAAGAAUACCAUGGUGCCAACUUUAUCAUGUUGGGAAUUUUUGUGAUGGGGUGGCCUAGUGGUUGAAGUGCUGAAGACCAAGAAUGUCCGGAUGAAUAAAAGAGACAGUCAUCUGUGCAGCAUCAAUGCAAAGAAAGACCAUAGAAGAGAAGCAAUGGGGAACAAGAGAAGAGAAACAGUACCUGGAUUUCACAAUCUGACACCAGCUACAUUUCAGAAGAUCUUGCUCACACAAAUCAGACAAGGGACUCGCCUGGUGAUGAACAAUCCUCCCGAUAUCAACCAACAGAUUCACCUCAGAAAGUGAUGAUUCUGAAUGAAUAAUGCCACAUCAGUGUGACUGUAGGUGGUUAUAUUAUGACACUAAUCAAGUCUGAAUGAAUUUAUGCCAAAGCACUGUGACUAUGUCCAGGUUGUGUACACCGACGCUAACUAUACAAAUCUGAAUGACUUUUGUGGUUUACUGCAGAAACAUAAUUGACUUUAGAUAUUCUUCUUCCAUGAAAUUCUUCUGAGAUUUGACUAAUUUGUUUAUUUAGAAAAUGACAUUGAAGUGUCUGUUCUGUAAGGCCUUGCAAACACCACUGUUUACUUUAUGCUUGUUCCUCUUCUUGCUUGAUCAAAUUUCAAUUUGUGAUAUGUACCAAAGAAAUGCCAUAAAAUCAAUGAACAAGAUUUUUUUUCUCCCAAAAACAUUAUUUGUUUUGCUUCAUUAGCAUAAAGAUAUAUAAUACUGAUCAGCCAUAACAUAGGUGCUGAACAAAUAUAAAAUAUACUUAUGCCCUGAAUGUAUAUAUACUAUAAAUACAGCUCACUUAACAAAAGUUGUAGUUCCCCAUUAGUAGACAAAAGACAUUGAUAUUUUUUUCUGUACAUUAUUUAGGUGUUUUCUAUGGAUGCCAUUAGUCUUAUGCACCAAUUUGGGACAAUUGUAUUCUGUUUCAUGUUCCCAUGAAACUACACUGUCCAGAUAUAACAAGUACUGAUACCGUUCUAAACUAAUCUUUUAAUCUCACCAGGGCGAAAUGCCAAAGCACAUAGCCAAUGACUUUCCUUCUUUGUUUUUAGUGAGAAUGCUGUUUUGCCACUUUUAGCAAUAUUGCAACAAUAUCAUGGUGGGGGACACCAGCAAUAAGCUUCACACAUUGGACCCAUGUCUCGAAACAAACUUGUGAACAAUGCAUGCCCACAGAUCUCAGUUUUAGGAGGAUAUUUACAACUAAAAUAACACAGAAUAUUACAACAGCUAUCUGAUAUGCACAGGCUAACAUUAAUAAGUAGAAACAAGACAUGAAGAAAAUUUGCAUCCGGAAACCUUCCAGAUACCUUCAGUAACCUUCAAACUUCUUGGUAUUUUCAAGAUAAUUUUUUUAUGUGUUUCACACUUAACUGAACAAAAUGCACAACCCAAAUUUUGACAUUUUUUUUGGAAGGUUUCCGGAAGGUAUCCGGGUCGGAUCCAAAAUGGGUAGGUAUCUGGAAGGUUUCCGGAAGACGGAAGACGGAAACCUACACUUUUUUUGCUGUGACUCCCUUGCCUCGGGAAGAUGAGCGCUAUUGAUGGAGGUCACUUCUAAAUAUAACCACUCGCAGUCACCUGACUGUCAGGUAUUACCUGUAUUGUAACCACGUGAUCAAAAUGAUUAUCUUUUUCAAAUAGUUUCUGUGAAUGUAAAGAAAGUCCUUCCUUCAUUGGAUUAUGAAUUAUUGUUAGUCUUUGUGGUUUUGUGGUACAUUUGCUUGACCCAGCAACAUACCGGUAUCUCCCUUCGUGCGUAGCUGGAGAAUGUGAAAAUGUUCAUCACAAUCUGCUUUAAACCUUCUAACAAGGGCACGUUGAUGCAACAAUACUCACUGUAUCAACUAUGAACCAGAGAUAGCGCAUUGUGUCUGCGGAUGCAGAGCUAGAAAUUCGUCUCCACGAUAUAACAGUGUAUACUUGUAUUUCAACGAUCUUAAGUUUGAUAGAAAGAUUCCAAUGAUUUCCCAUUCUCCACAUGCGCGCUGCGAAUAACAGAACAACUUUUCAGAAAAAUCGCAAAAGACCCGGGGUAAAAUACCCUUAUUACAGUUUAGUUGUUUGUUAGUCUUGAUAAUAUGACUAUAGGAAAUGGAAAUGAGAUAUUGAAUAUGUAGGUAGUGUUUACAUUUUGUGGCUAAGAAAAUGAUGUCAUAUAAUAAUUAAUUAAUUGUGUGCUUUCAUAAUGUAUUCAAAAUUAAUUAAGUUCUCAUUAGAAGUACUUUGAAGUACUUAAGGUUUCCAGCUAUCGUCUUCAUUGGAAUCUAAUUGUAAUUAGUGUAAUUAUAGACUUGAGAUUUUAAACAUUUUUGUCAUGAUAAUGAAAUAUCAUUCUCACCCUAAACAUUACCAGGCCCACCCCAAUGUUUGUCAUUCCCAAUGAACUUUCAACAAUUAAAAAACGUGUGAAAAUUA